RNAcentral lists this non-coding RNA (57 nucleotides) under Aliiroseovarius crassostreae. RNAcentral's name for it is "Roseovarius crassostreae Singlet oxygen resistance RNA X". It matches the Rfam family "Singlet oxygen resistance RNA X". From Rfam's summary of the family: SorX (RSs2461)like SorY is a singlet oxygen induced sRNA that counteracts oxidative stress by targeting mRNA for a transporter in Rhodobacter. It also has an impact on resistance against organic hydroperoxides. It targets SD sequence of potA mRNA via an aSD sequence. The record is from Rfam by way of RNAcentral. Lineage: Bacteria; Pseudomonadati; Pseudomonadota; Alphaproteobacteria; Rhodobacterales; Paracoccaceae.
UGCCCUUCGGCUUUUACCUCCCUGUUGGACUUGGCCGGGCUAUGCCCGGCCUUUUUU